Molecule: long non-coding RNA, 1418 nt
Organism: Diceros bicornis minor
Lineage: Eukaryota; Metazoa; Chordata; Mammalia; Perissodactyla; Rhinocerotidae
Exons: 6
Source: RefSeq, a predicted model, not a curated record
CCGCCAGCAGAGGAGCACGAGCACUUAACCACUAAGCCACGGGGCCGGCCCCUGGACUCCAAUUCUUGAUGGAAGCAUGACAAGAUCACAUUGCAGAUGAUCUAACAGAAGAGCCUGGACCUCAUGAAAAUGAAAUACAAGGAGCACUGGAGGGAAGGAGGAAGAGGAAGUGGGGAACCAAAGCCUCAGAGAGGGGAUGCAAAGGUGUAAAAGAAAGCCUCGGGCCUCCCUUAAUUACAAGGGAAAUUUACCAGCAUUGAUUUUCAUGUAGUUUUCCUAAAGCCUUUCCCCUUCUGGUUCUCCCAGCUCUUGGAUUGGGAGCACUAGUAUGGAUCGGGGGAGAGAGAGUCUCAGAAAUAUGUCGACUCUUUAUAGUUGAAGUACACAGUCCUGUUCCUUAGAGAUAUUGUAGGUAUAUCAUUGAAUGCGUCAUGAUGUUAAGAUUUGUAGUGCAAUGAAAGGAAUGCACACUCCAUUCCUGUCUUUACUGCCUUAAAAAUGUCUGAAGAGGAAACUGUAUCAAACAGCAAGCCUUUGUCCUCUAUACUUUAGCUUCCAGAAUUGAUGGAAGUGGAUGAUCCAGGCGCUUGCUCUCCACAGCCUAACUCACAGCAACUCAAAGUCUCUUGUGCCUUUUGCCCUUGGUGUACUCGUGAUUCUCCCGUCAACUGCAGAGUCUAUAUUUCAAAAGUAAGGAAACUGAGACCCUGAGAUAUGAGAUAACUUUCCCAAGACCGUAUAACUGUAUGGCUGAUUUUCAGAGGACUCUCCAUUCUCGGUUUUCUUAGAAUGGAGAACUUCUUAGAACUGUGAACUGUUGCUCUUCUUUAAGCGUCUGGGGAGAGAGUUUCUCUUAACUUGACCUUGCUGCUGACCUGGACACCUAGCUCAAGCCCUAAACUCUUGGUGAUGCCAGUGGGUCUGCGCAGUAUUGUAUUCAUAGCACCAAGGGUCCCCAAGAUGAACUGCACUUCAGAGUGAAGAGUUCAGCAGUAUAGUCUGAGCGGCAGAGGUGAUCUGAGAGUUUUCUGGCCCCCUCCCACCCAAUGCACCAUGAAGAUGGGGACCUAUAGUGUGGAAGAAUCCAACUUAUGGUAGCAAGAUGCUCAUGGAUAUUUCUGCUGCCAGGAGAGUAGAUCCCCUCUCAGUCUAUUUUAGAUUGUGCUUUGGCUAUUUGUGCUAUCAUUAACACUCUCACCCUUCCUAAUUUUUUUUCCUUUUCACCUUAGAUCUUUAGUGUUUCCACAGUGGAAAGGCUGUGAAACUCGACGGGACUGGGAAAUUCCAUUCCUUAGAGAAUGCAGAGCACAAGAAGGCUGGAGACCUGGACCAGGUGAUCUUCUCUAAGGUCAGCAAGACUGCUGCUCUGUUUGCACUUCAUCGUCUCGUACUGAAGUCAGGAAAGCGUCCCCAGGCUG